This 1566-nucleotide long non-coding RNA is filed under the name Mytilus galloprovincialis (Mediterranean mussel). The record is from RNAcentral. Lineage: Eukaryota; Metazoa; Mollusca; Bivalvia; Mytilida; Mytilidae.
GGCAGGCUUCCAAAGAAGGUAUGAAUGGGGUUAACGCGGUAGUAAAUGAUGGACAACAAGUUCAGAAUAAUGAGUAAUAAAAAAAUAAUAUUAGAGAAAAAUAGUUAAAAAAAAAGGAUAGAGAAAAAAAAAAUAAGCAAAAAAAGAUAAAGAAAAUAAUGGUAGUUUUAUUCAUGAUGGGGUUUGAUUGUCCUUUGAAAAGAUGUUAUCACUUUUCUAGAUAAUAUAAAACAUAAGAUAGAAGCGAUUAAAUAUUUUAAUAAAAAAAUAAACUAGAGGCUCUAAAGAGCCUGUGUCGCUCACCUUGGUCUAUGUGAAUAUUAAACAAAGGAAGCAGAUGGAUUCAUGACAAAAUUGUGUUUUGGUAAUGGUGAUGUGUUCGUAAAUCUUACUUUACUGAACAUUCUUGCUGCUUACAAUUGACCUCUAUCUAUAAUGAACUUGGCCCAGUAGUUUCAGUGGAAAAUGUUAGAAAAAGUUAAUAAAUUUUAUGAAAAUUGUUAAAAAUUGUCUAUAAAGGACAAUAACUCCUUAGGGGUUCAAUUGACCAUUUCAGUCAUUUUGACUUAUUUGUAAAUCUUACUUUUCUGAACAUUAUUGCCGUUUACAGUUUAUCUUUAUCUAGAAUAAUAUUCAAGAUAAUAACCAAAAACAGCAAAAUUUCCUUAAAAUUACCAAUUCAGGGGCAGCAACCCAACAAAGGGUUGUCCGAUUCAUCUGGAAAUAAUUUCAGGGCAGAUAGAUCUUAACCUGAUAAACAAUUUUAAACCAUGUCAGAUUUGCUCUAAAUGCUUUGGUUUUAGAGUUAUAAGCCAAAAUCUACAUUUUACCUAUAUGUUCUAUUUAUAGCCAUGGCGGCCAUCUUGAUUGGUUGGCAGGGUCACGCCACACAUUUUUUAAAGUAGAUACCCCAAUGAUGAUUGUCGCCAAGUUUGGAUUAAUUUGGCCCAGUAGUUUCAGAGGAGAAGAUUUUUGUAAAAGAUUACUAAGAUUUACGAAAAAUGCUUAAAAAUUGACUAUAAAGGGCAAUAACUCCCAUAGGGGUCAAUUGACCAUUUCGGUCAUGUUGACUUAUUUGUAAAUCUUACUUUGCUGAACAUUAUUGCUGUUUACAGUUUAUCUCUAUCUAUAAUAAUAUUUAAGAUAAUAACCAAAAACAGUAAAAUUUCCUUAAAAUUAUCAUUUUAGGGGCAGUAACCCAACAACGGGUUGUCCGAUUCAUCUGAAAAUUUCAGGGCAGAUAGAUCUUGACCUGAUAAACAAUUUUACCUCGUCAGAUUUGCUCUAAAUGCUUUGGUUUUUGAGUUAUAAGCCAAAAACUGCAUUUUACCCCUAUGUUCUAUUUUUAGCCAUGGCGGCCAUCUUGGUUGGUUGGCCGGGUCACCGGACACAUUUUUUAAACUAGAUACCCCAAUGAUGAUUGUGGCCAAGUUUGGUUUAAUUUGGCCCAGUAGUUUCAGAGAAGAUUUUUUGUAAAAGUUAACGACGACGGACGACGGACGCCGGACGCAAAGUGAUGGGAAAAGCUCACUUGGCCCUUUGGGCCAGGUGAGCUAAAAAUGAUCA